This is a non-coding RNA of Acanthosepion pharaonis, 110 nucleotides long. Lineage: Eukaryota; Metazoa; Mollusca; Cephalopoda; Sepiida; Sepiidae. The record is from the annotation of a GenBank genome assembly.
CGGCUACAUUACGUUGAAAUACCGAUUCCCGUACAACCACCGAAGUUAAGCAACUGUGAGUGUGGUCAGUACUUAGAUGGGUGACCGCUUGGGGAUAUCAGAUGCUGUUA